This 446-nucleotide ribosomal RNA is filed under the name uncultured bacterium. RNAcentral's name for it is "bacterial SSU rRNA". It matches the Rfam family "Bacterial small subunit ribosomal RNA", at positions 336 to 796 of the family's 1533-position model. The record is from RNAcentral.
UUCCUACGGGAGGCAGCAGUGGGGAAUUUUACGCAAUGGGGGAAACCCUGACGUAGCGACACCGCGUGAACGAAGAAGCCUUUUGGGGUGUAAAGUUCUGUCAGCAGGAACGAAAUAAAUGACGGUACCUGCAGAGGAAGCAUCGGCUAACUACGUGCCAGCAGCCGCGGUAAGACGUAGGAUGCGAGCGUUGUCCGGCUUCAUUGGGCGUAAAGAGUUCGUAGGCGUUUCAUUAAGGCUGGUGUUAAAGACUGGGGCUCAACCCUGGAACAGCACUGGAUACUGGUGGGCUGGAGUGUGGUAGAGGCAAGCGGAAUUCCUGGUGUAGCGGUGAAAUGCGUAGAUAUCAGGAAGAACACCGGUGGCGUAAGCGGCUUGCUGGGCCAUAACUGACGCUGAGGAACGAAAGCUAGGGUAGCGAAUGGGAUUAGAUACCCUAGUAGUCA